Mycena crocata is the source of this 97-nucleotide non-coding RNA. Lineage: Eukaryota; Fungi; Basidiomycota; Agaricomycetes; Agaricales; Mycenaceae. The record is from the annotation of a GenBank genome assembly.
GCCCAAAUAGUGUAACGGUUAACACGUCUCUACAGUUUCGCUUUGGAGAGGAACUUCAUUAUGGGGAAUUCCUCUGGUUCGACUCCAGAUUUGGGCU